UUAAAAGAUAUAUUAUAACCAUAUUCAUUUACUGGAAAUAACAAGAUUAAAUUGUUUGAAUCAGAUAUAUUUAGAACAGAUUGAAAUGUAAGUAAAGACAAUUGUUUAAUUGUUUUUCGACGAUAUAUGCUUAAUUAUACAAUACUGUAUUGUUAAUGGUUUUUAUGGCCCCGCUAAGUUGUCGGGACCAUAUAGUUUGACCCUUGUCAGAAAUCCGUAAUUUUCUAAUUUUUGCUCGAUUUUCUCAUUUCCUGACCGGUGUGAGAAAAAUAUUUCUCCUCACUAGCGAAAAAUCUGUUCUCUGGAAAUGCUUGGUUGAAAUUUAAUUGUGACAUUAAAUUUUCUUGUUUUCUUCUGAAUUUUCUUAGUGUGACGUCAUGAAAAAGGCGACCAUGCCUGAUGACGUCAAUUGAAAGUACACAACUUUCCUCAAAUCUUUGAAAAGGAACGAUAAAAAUCAUAAGAGAAACAAUUUCCACCACUGUAACUUGUGUAUUUCUGUCAUUCCGUCAUUUCGUAUCAAAUCAUAAUACGGAGUUUUUUUUCUAAACGUCUUAAGUUACUGAUCUGAUUUCGGUAUGCCAGUUCACCAUUAUGACUUACAGAUCAAGUUAAAGUUCCGCUCUGCUUCGCUAAUUUUUGCCGAAAUUACGGGCUUUGCACUUUGAUAAAUUGUUGAAAAUCACAGUUAUACGACGGUUUGUUCUAAACGCCUUGAGAAAUAUGUAUUGGGCUGUCUUUGGUAUGAGAGUUAACUAUGACGAGUUAUAGAUCAAAUUUAAGUUUCGUUCCACUCCGAUGAUUUUUGCCAAAAUAAAGAGUUUAAAACUUUAAAAUUGUUGACAAUCACAAUUAUACUGACUUUUUUCCAGUACUAUUUUGAUAUGAGAGACUGGCCUAAUGUUUGUGUCCACAUGUGUUGUUAGAAUUUCACAUUUUUCUACUUUUUGAGACGGGGCCAUUCGUGUCGUUUCGACACAGCUAGUUUGAAUAAUGAUUUUGUAAGUCACGUUUGAACUGUUUUAGUAUUUUCACAUCUGGAUAUUUAAAUCUUGUUUACGGUGUCAGAGGUAUUGAUAUCACAUUGUUUUUUUUUCGAGUUUGUCUCAUUUUAUUAAACAUGCAUAUUUAAGAGUGAAAAAUGAUCGCAAUUUCACUUGAAGGUAAAAUUAGUACCUCAGAUCUGUAUUUUUUCUGAGUCAUUUUGUUGUUUUGAUGUACAAGUACCCGGCCAUAUCGACUUGUAUUUUUAUCCAUCUGAUGAGUUCAGCCUUUUUCAACUGAUUUUUAUAGUUCGUUCUAAUGUUGUACUGUUAUACCACUGUCCCAGAUUAGGGGAUCAUGCUGACAUGUUUAACCCAGCCACAUUCUGUAUGUAUGUGUCUGACCCAAGUCAGGAGCCUGUAAUUCAGUGGUUUCCGUGUGUUUAUGUUUUACAUAAUUUUUGUCUGUUCAUUUUUUGUACAUAAAUUAGCCGUUAGUUUUCUCGUUUGAAUUGUUUUACAUUGCCAUUUCCGGGAUUUUCAUAGAUGACUAUGCGGUAUGGGCUUUGGUGAUUGUUGAAAGACGUACGGUGACCUAUAGUUGUGAAUUUCUGUGUCAUUUAGGUGUCUUGGGGAGAGUUGUCUCGUUGGCAAUCCUACCACAUCUUUUUUUUAUAUAUAUAUAUAUUAUAUUUUGAUGGGGUUCGUGUUGCUCGGUCUAUAGUUUUCAAAUAUUGGUUUGAUAGACGUCAUUUGUGUUUUGCCAUGGCGAACUCAGUUUGUCUAUCACUUAUGAGUUCCAUACGUUUUAUUACAGACUGUUUUGGUAAAGAUUUAGAUUAAGUUCAAACAAUUCAAAUUUGACAAUUGUCAAAAUAAGUAUGAGAUAUCCCCUUUAGUGUAACUUUAUCGUUAUUUGUUUAAAACUGACAUUCAUCAUUACGGUUCCAUUUGAAUGUUUUGUACAAUAAAAUAGUUUUGAGUGACACUAACAAAUCUCAUUGAUAGGCAUGCAGUUUAAAUAAAAUCAUCAAUGAUGAUUGUUAUGCAUAAGUUGAUGCUAAACUAUUUUCUCUUAUUUGGAAUUUAACAUUAACUAUUAGUCCUUCUUUUCAUCACAGACAAAUUGUCUUUACACCGAUGUAAUGACUGUAAGCAACAAGACAACUUAUUCUCAAAUCAUUCUUCAAUGAUCCAUGCCCGCAGGAGCAUCGCCUCUGUGUUUUCAGAUUAGGUUCCAAUACAGAACUUUUGACCAAUAAGUCAUAGUAAAUCAGAAAUUUGUCCAAACUGAAGGUUUUUAUGUGAUAAAAAAUUCACAUUUAUCAGUCAUUUACUUUUAUAUUUUUAUCAGCAAUGUUUUUUUUUAAACAAAAAAUAGCUUGAUGUCAUACAGAAAGUAUUCUUUUGUGGUUGACAAUUUUGUGUUUAUAAAUUCAGAAGAGUAUGCUUGAAAUUCAAUUUAUGCAAGUAUAAGUAUGUUCCUUUUGAGACUCUGAGCAAAUGCUAUUGUUAGUGUACCGGUAGGUCAGUAGAGUACUCAGUAUUCAGUUCAUCAUUAUGGUCAGGAUUUAUAAGAAUCAAUCUUUAAUUUAUUUGUUGAUAAAAUUUUGGAAUUUAUUUACCAAAAGAUAUGAGUCCAACUCUAUGUAUGACAAAUUGAAUUAAUAAUAAUUUUUAUUGUUUUAAUUUAGAAUUUUGACAUCUUGGUCAACAAUUUAGCCCAGCAUUUUAUCAUAAUGGUUCUCGCUCUGCCUCGUUAUAUAUGAGAUAUAUCUUUAGACUAUCUGAGAAAAUUUGAAUUUGCAGAAUUUUCAAUCAGUUUUAUUUUUAUUAUCUAGUAACAUUGAAAAGAGUAUCGACAUGAAAAUUGGGUGCAUGUUCUUUAAGACGAUAGCGGUUUUGACCCUAUGCAUUUUAAAAGAAGGUAAUGCUUUGCCAUGUACCGAACCCGGCCUGGCUAUGUGUGAUUGCACGGGAACAGAAAUUAAUUGUAGGAACGUAAACUUAAACCAAAUACCAAGUAAUAUUCCUAAGAAUACAACAGUC
RNAcentral lists this long non-coding RNA (3032 nucleotides) under Mytilus galloprovincialis (Mediterranean mussel). Lineage: Eukaryota; Metazoa; Mollusca; Bivalvia; Mytilida; Mytilidae. The record is from RNAcentral.